CAGUAGCCACGGGAAUACGAAGGGGGCUAGCGUUGUUCGGAUUUACUGGGCGUAAAGCGCACGUAGGCGGAUCGAUCAGUCAGGGGUGAAAUCCCAGAGCUCAACUCUGGAACUGCCUUUGAUACUGUCGAUCUGGAGUAUGGAAGAGGUGAGUGGAAUUCCGAGUGUAGAGGUGAAAUUCGUAGAUAUUCGGAGGAACACCAGUGGCGAAGGCGGCUCACUGGUCCAUUACUGACGCUGAGGUGCGAAAGCGUGGGGAGCAAACAGGAUUAGAUACCCCCGUAGUCCCUGUCUCUUAUAU
Molecule: ribosomal RNA, 301 nt
Filed under: uncultured bacterium
Lineage: Bacteria
Description: partial 16S ribosomal RNA
Rfam family: Bacterial small subunit ribosomal RNA
Source: RNAcentral